CAAUGAGCAGACCUAGGCAUAAAAACAAAAAAACUUUCUACUUUGUAAGAAGUGCUUUCGGCUUUAAUUGCCAUCCUCAGCUUAUAUACUUGAAAAUCGGUAGUGUUAAUACCUUUGAAACUAUUCAAAGAGAGCAGUUUUUUUUUGUUGAACUUAUUCUAUAUGCAAAAUAAAUUUGUUAUGGAUACAUGCUACCAGAUUUGGAAUACAUGGAAUGAAGUGAAUCCAAGCAUCUUUCAAAAAUGCUUUAUGAAAUUGCUGAGCUGAGUUGAGCUGUAUGAAAUGUGGAUUUCAUAAAUUAUAUGAGGAUGAGAAUGAAUUUUUGGUUACAGAAAAUGAUGUAGAGGAAAUGACAUAUCUUGUAAAGGAAUAUUCCAAGUAGCAAAAAAAAGCAAGUUUGUUUUCUUUGAUCAACAACAUCAUAAUGUUGAAAGAAAUUGAAGAUAGCUGAUAAACCGAAAUUUUUUUAAGCAUAGAUCCACUCAAAGAAUUUAUGGGGAUACCAGAAGAAGAAGAAAAUGCUGAAUCAACAAAUGAAUAUAUUAUUGUUGAUAAAUGUGCUGCCAAUUCAUCUAAAAUGAAAGAUGAAAUUCUUUCAAGCCUUACAAUUCUUAAAUUGUUUGCACUUAACAAUAACAGUAUGAUGCUUCACAAUAAAUUCUUGAUAUUGAACGUGAUGUACAAAAAAUUACUAUUGAGCACAAAUGCAG
Molecule: long non-coding RNA, 710 nt
Filed under: Androctonus crassicauda
Lineage: Eukaryota; Metazoa; Arthropoda; Arachnida; Scorpiones; Buthidae
Source: RNAcentral